This 508-nucleotide ribosomal RNA is filed under the name Scyllarus subarctus. Its description in RNAcentral is "partial large subunit ribosomal RNA". It matches the Rfam family "Bacterial large subunit ribosomal RNA", at positions 1811 to 2585 of the family's 2925-position model. The record is from RNAcentral. Lineage: Eukaryota; Metazoa; Arthropoda; Malacostraca; Decapoda; Scyllaridae.
AAACAUGUCUUUAUGGGUGUUUAUGUAAAGUCUAGCCUGCCCAGUGAUAUAAAGUUUAACGGCCGCGGUAUAUUGACCGUGCGAAGGUAGCAUAAUAAUUAGUCUUUUAAUUGAAGACUGGAAUGAAAGGUUGAACAAGAAGUUAGCUGUCUCUAAAUUAAAUUUUGAAUUUAACAUUUAAGUGAAAAGGCUUAAAUAUUUUAAAGGGACGAUAAGACCCUAUAAAUCUUUAUACUUGAUUUUAUAGAGCAAAAUAUUAAAAUAAUUUUUGUUCAAUAGGUUUGGGUAUUUUGUUGGGGCGACAGGAGUAUAAAAUGUAACUGCUCUAAAAUGAUAGUUAGUUGAUAUUUAGUUAAGUGAUCCUUUAAUAAAGAUGUUAGUUUAAGUUACUUUAGGGAUAACAGCGUAAUUUUUUUUGAGAGUCCAUAUCGAAAAAAAAGUUUGCGACCUCGAUGUUGAAUUAAAGAUCCUUUAUGGUGCAGAAGUUGUAGAAGGAGGUCUGUUCGAC